CCUACGGGGGGCAGCAGUGGGGAAUAUUGCGCAAUGGGCGAAAGCCUGACGCAGCGACGCCGCGUGAGGGAUGAAGGUCUUCGGAUCGUAAACCUCUGUCAGCAGGGAAGAACGGUCACUGUGCUAAUCAGCAGUGAAUUGACGGUACCUGCAAAGGAAGCACCGGCUAACUCCGUGCCAGCAGCCGCGGUAAUACGGAGGGUGCGAGCGUUAAUCGGAAUUACUGGGCGUAAAGCGCUCGUAGGCGGUAUGUCAAGUCAAGGGUGAAAUCCCCGCGCUCAACGUGGGAACUGCCUUUGAAACUGGCAAACUGGAGUUUGUGAGAGGAUAGUAGAAUUCCAGGUGUAGGAGUGAAAGCCGUAGAUAUCUGGAGGAACAUCAGUGGCGAAGGCGACUAUCUGGCACAUAACUGACGCUGAGGAGCGAAAGCGUGGGUAGCAAACAGGAUUAGAUACCCCUGUAGUC
Molecule: ribosomal RNA, 465 nt
Filed under: uncultured bacterium
Lineage: Bacteria
Description: partial 16S ribosomal RNA
Rfam family: Bacterial small subunit ribosomal RNA
Source: RNAcentral